RNAcentral lists this long non-coding RNA (6232 nucleotides) under Sus scrofa (pig). RNAcentral's name for it is "lncRNA (ENSSSCG00000056940.1)". Lineage: Eukaryota; Metazoa; Chordata; Mammalia; Artiodactyla; Suidae. The record is from RNAcentral.
GCUGUAGCAAGAUUAAAAAAUGAAUACUAAUGAUUGAUUUCAAAUUAGGCAGCUCUUUUUCUUUUGCCUGCAGCUGAUGCGGUAAGGGAUAUGGAGUCUCAAGAGAUCACUGGUGUUUAGGUGGCUGUAACUCACCCAAUCACCAUUUUUUUUUUUUUAAGUCCUUGUUAUGUUCAGUUUCAUGAGACUUCAUGUUUUUAGCAUUUUAAUUGUGUUUGUUCACUCCAGUGAUGAAACAGAUUUUGUCCCCAGCCUGUUUUCCAUCUGGUUGCUUUGUAAUCAUAAACAAACUAGGUUAGAAGUGAUUUUUUUAAAGCCAAAACUCCCAUUUUCUAUUCUGUUUCAUGUAGGUGAGCACUGGAAUGAAAUUAUUUUCUAAUUUUCUUCAUGCGCAUUUAUUAUUUAGGGUGUGUAUGUGUGUAUUUAAAUAUAUGUAUAUAUCAUGUCUAUAUCUGCAUAUACUGUUAUAUGCACACAUUAAUAUUUGUAUGUGUAUAUAUAAUACUGAUAUAUGCAGAUAUAUACAUGCACAUACCUCUAGUUUUUCUCAUUUAUUGGCCCUUUAAAGAUUUUCUGUUAUAUUCUUUCAGACUGUCAUAGUUUUAGGACAUGACCUGUGACCUCAGGUGUGUGCAGAAAGCGGACAUCACCAACCGGGGAAGGCGGGUUUGUUUUGACCGCCGUAUCAGGAAGGAAAGGGUUGUAUAGACGUGAACUGGAGAACUCAGUGAGCAUGUCUGACAUGCUGAAAGUGGUGUGUUGGCCCCAGGGAAGCCUGGAAGGGUGGUGCCCUCCACACCAUCUCUGUCCUGUGGGUCCAGGCAGUAAGGACGUUGAGGACGGAUCCUCUGCUGGGUGGGCCAUCAGUGCCCUCAGUGAAGGUAAACUCACACCCUCACAUCGUAGCAGUUCUUUAAAACCAAUCCUGUCUUUAUUUAGAAAGAUGCAGCGGGUGGUGAGGGGAGCCAGCAGAGGAGCUGGGCAGGAUGGGGCAGGGCGGGGUGAUUAGCACGCAGCCGUCUUUCUGUUCUUUAUAGAUCUGCCCACCUAGCCUGCCAGUUCAACUUUAGGGAAAGAUCCUAGAGACUAGAGAUGGUCCUGUGUCUCUCCGUGAGCAGCCCAGGGUCAGUGCUCCACACAGCCAGCUGGGGGACCAACGGGCUCUCCUUCUGCUCUCAGUGGCGGCCAGGUGCUGCCUGGUCCCCUGCAGCUGCACACGAGGCCCUGGAGAACCCGGAGCACUGCUGCUGCCUGGCAAAUAUUGCACGUUAGUGCCCCUAGAUAAGGGCCCCUAGAUGGGCAGCUGUGGCAAGCAGGGCUCUGAACAGGCUGGGAAGGCCAUUCUGGGUCCUGUUUGUACCUAUGCGUAGCUGCUGAGAUGUUAUGGGGUCAGGGGAAGACCAGGAUGAGAGUGCACAAGGGGUGCAGGAGGAGAAAGGAGAGGGCCUCUCUCCUUCCCUCUUAUCUAUCACCCUCCAUGGGCCACAUAUGCUCCUCUAUGCUUCUUUUGAAUCUGGAUGCUAUUUUAGGGGUCACUAGAAACAAAGAAUAGUGAAAGAAAAGCUUGCUCCUAGAUACAUACCUAAAUGCAUGCCCAAGCUAUCCUUAACUUACAGGACUAUGCAACGUUGUCAAGACUCAAGGAGGGGUCUCCCCUCCUGCCUGCUUCAGAACUGGGCUCCAUCAAGUACCCUCUCUCCAAAUCUUCAACUUCCUUACAUUUCCAGGCUCUUUUCUCUGGAAGCUAGCCCACAAAUACAAGAAUGCAUGCAAGAAUCUAUCAGCCAAAGGAAAACAAACAUUUAUUUGAAUUGGUGCUACCUCAAUAAGUGUCCCCUUCCUUUUUAUACAAAUUCUCCAAAGAAUAGCUGACACCCACUAUCUCUACUCCUUCACCAUAUGUUUGCUCUCAGGGCGUUGUGAUCUGUCUUCUGAGCUUCUGUUUGAAGGUUCUCAUUGUUCACCAAAGCCCAUCUCAUUUUCAGCCAGUGGACUCUAUUUAUUCUUUAUCUAUCUGGACCUCCUUGAGGCACUGACAUCAGAAUGUAAAUCUUAUCUGUGCAGAGAUUUCUGUUUUGUUCUCUGCUCUAUCCACAGCAUCUGGAAUAGCGCCUGGUAUGGAGUCUGGGCUCAGUAAGUAUUACCUGAAUGAAUAAACUGAUGAGUUCUUUCCCAAGACUAACUGAAGCGUCCACUCCUGGGCUUUGGUGACUCAGCACCCUCCUGGCUCUCCUUCCUGACCAUCCUUUUUGCUUCUUUCACAGAGACCUUUCAGUGAACAUCCUUGUGUUUUGCUGUUCCCCAGGGCUUUUCAUCCUACUUUACUCUGAGUAAUCUUAUCAACUGGAUGUUUUCGUGACCUCUGCAUGCUGAGGAGUCCCAAAUUAUAUCCUCAGCUGGGACCUGUCUUUGGAAUUUCAGGCUCAAAUAUCCAAACAUCUGUUGGUCAUCUUUCCCUUGCACCCUAUAAAAUAUCUCAAAAAUCAACCUUUACUGAACCCUCAGUCUCAUCCCCAGAUCUGCUUCUUCUCUUGAUCUCCAGUUAUGGUAGCGCCCCUAGCCCUUAUCACCAGAGCCAGUGUUAGCAAGGACUUUAGUAUGAGCCCCUGCUUGGAGUUAGUCACAUCUUUUUUGUGUCCGGCCAACUGGAAGGGCGGAUCUGCCUUGGAAACCUGUUUACACAAGGGAUUACAAGUUCUCUCGGGAAAGGACUCAUCCUAAGGGAUGGACAGAGUAGGCUGGCUUGAAAUUGCUGACUCUAGAAAAGCUGAUGGUCACUUUUUACCUUUUCUCCCUUUUAGAUUCCCUUGGGAUAGGAAACUCAGCACUUAUUAUGGUGACCCUUAAUAUAAUCCUACUUAUGCUAACUUGCCUCUUCAAAGUUUUAAAAAUUCGCCUCUGCAUCCUGAUCAUUUAUUUGCCUGUUUGCCCUCAGCUCUGGUCCCCAGCUUUCCUCUGCUCUGCUCUGCAUUGCAGGAAAGUGCAUUUCCCUCAUCAGUGGGGUUCCAGGUAGGGUUGGCCAUGGGAGGCACUGCUGGAAGGCUGGAAGGUGGUGGCAGGGUGUUUUCCCUCCCCUGCUCUGCCUUUGACAGCCUCUUCCCGUGAGAGCUCUACUUCCCACCAGAUGCCUCAGCUUUGGCUCUGCUAACUCUACCUCCUCCCUUUGUCCUUCCAGCCUAGGGGUAACAGGGACUUCUUGAUUUCUCAUUUGCAAACCUCCAGAUUGCUCCUUUUGCCUCGCUUGGGCUUUUCAUCAGCUUCAUCACUGGACAAUCAACCCACUAUAUUAGUUUUCCCUCUCUUUGAAAGACCCCGGUCAUCCCCCUCCUAUGUUUCUCUAUCCCUGUGUCCCACCUCAUCUUCCUUCCUCCAGUCUUUAAAUUACCUUGAACCUGCUAUAGCAAUGUGUCUGUAACACAAAUCUGAUCUCGCCACUUCCAUGUUUAAAACCCUUCCAUGAUUUCAUGCACAUCUAGGAAAAAUUCUAGACCAAACACACCCAACAGGGUGGCCAUUAGCUACAUGUGACUAUUCAGCACUUGAAAUGUGGCCAUCAGAAUUGAGAUGUGCUUAUUAUAAGAGUGAAAUACUCAGUGUAUUUUGAACACUUAGUGCAAAAGAAAGCUCAAAAAAUACCUCAUUAAUUCCUUUUAAUGUCAAUUAUGUGUUGAAAUGAUAAAAAUUGAUUAUAUUAGGUUUAAAAAAUAUUUUUUUAAUUAAUUUUAAAUUUUACCUGUUUAUCUUUUUUUUUUUUUUUUUUUGUCUUUUUAGGGCUGCACCUGUGGCAUAUGGAUGUUCCCAGGCUAGGGGUUGAAUAGGAGCUGCAGCUACUGGCCUGUACUACAGCCACAGGAAUCCAGGAUCCAAGCUGCAUUUGUGACCUACACAUAGUUCAUGGCAAUGCCGGAUCUUAGCCCACUGAGUGAGGCCAGGGAUCAAACCUGCAUCCUCAUGGAUACUAGUCAGAUUUGUUUCCAUUGAGCCACUCCUAUCUGCUUUUAAAAAAAAAAAAAAUUAUUGGAGUGUAGUUGAUUUGCAAUAUUGUAUUAGUUUCAGGUAUACAGCAAAGUGAAUCAGUUAUACAUACACAUAUAUCCAUUCAUUUUCAGAUGCUUCUCCAUAUAGGUUGUUAUGUUUUUGCUGGGCUUUUAAAAUGCGUAUAUUACAAAAUUAAAAAAUAUAAAUGCGGCUUUGCAUUUCUUUGGGGCAGCACUGUUCCAGACUAUGAGGCCCCCGGGAUCUCCACCCUGCUCACCUCUCCAGCCUCACUGACACCACAUGCUGCUUUUCACUUUAGGCUCUAGGAAAAACAGAGUCAGGAUCUACUAGUUCUGACCCUUCCACCCCACCGCACCCCAGGUCAGUUAGCGUCACACUCCCAACUACUAGGGGUCAUGCCCACCCCCACCUGCAGACUCACCCCCACCAGGAAAAAGAAAGGAAUGCUGAGAAGAGUCCAGAUAAUGCAGAUGCUGGGUUGAAGGCUGAAACUUUCCAGGAGAGGCUCAAAAAUGUCGUGUGUUAAAACUUGGUGCACCUCCCUGAAAGAUCUUGCUGGGUCUUCUCUUAGCUUUGAUUCUUCCUUAGAUAGUUGUUGAUGCUCUUGAGUCAUCCAUUCACCCCGAGGCUGGUGGAAUAUGAGAAACCAGAUCCUUCCUUCUCUUCCUUCCAUUCAAAGGAAUGGUCCUGUAACUCAUCAGCUUCAAAUAACAGAGUAGCCCCUGCUCCUAAUAAAGCGGGCUUACCCAGGCUAUGCUCUGUGUCUGCAGCUCUUGCUUGGAGGCUGCAGUGGAAGUUGAGGAAAGAUGGGGUCAAGGUUUCAGAGGUGUUGAUCCUGAUAGCUCAGAGGCACAGCUAAGGCACACCACACUGUGUCCUGGCUCUGGGCCUUUGCUCAUGUACCCUCUGCCCCACUCCCUACUUCUUCCCUCUCCCUGCUCACUCCACUUGUUCUAAAAGAUGCAUUUCAGCUGUUCUUCUGGGCUUGCUUUCCUGACCCCUGCCUAUUAACACCAAUGUUGGAUUUAUCACAUCUUCUUUUUACCAAUCUGUCAGUAUGGCUCUCUCCCUCAUUGCACUGUGUGAGUGUCUUAAUAAUGGCAACAUUAUCUUGUUCAUCUUCGACUCUAGUGCCUGGCCAGAGCAAUGAUCAGUUAAUAUUAAAUGAAUAAAUGGAUGGAUAGAUGGGUGGGACGGGGGUGUGAAUGAUGAAAGUAUUUCUGAGAUUCCCCAUAGUACCUGACAUAAUGUGUUACACAAAUGGAUCCAUAAAUAUUACCAUUUAACUGACGGAAAGUUAGGUUCCAAGAUAUGCUCAUUAAACUAAGCUACAAAAUCAAAAUAAAAACCAGAUUGCUGGUCUUGCUGCCAGUAUUUUUGUAUGUCAGGAAUACCCCCAGAUUUGGAUUAAGUUUGGGGCCAGUUUAGCUGUAGACCCGGACAAAGACGGAAGAGGCAGAUUGGCAGAGUGACGAGCUGUCACGUUUCCAACAGGACAAACAGCUCAUCAGCCAAGAACUCUCUCUCUCAGAUGUCAAUUUACACAUUUCUCAAUUAAUGAUUAAAUUCAUUGCUAUCUUUUUUGUUUGUUUGUUUGCUUUUUAGGGCCGCACUCUCGGCAUAUAGAUGUUCCCAGGCUGGGGAUCAAACUGAAGCUGUAGCUGCUGUCCUACACCACAGCUCACAGCAAUGAGGGACCAUUGAGAGAGGCCAGGGAUCAAACCCGAAUCCUCAUGGAUACUAGUCGGAUUCGUUUCCGCUGAGCCACAAUGGGAACUCCCUCAUUGCUAUCAUUUUUAUCUUGAAUUUAAUACUAGUGUAUCCGAAGGUAUACUGACUCCAGAGUGGGAAACCCGAGUCCUGGUUAAUAUCAGGAUUUCCUGACAAGUCAUGUAUUCCCUCUGAAUCUCUUUUUUCAUCAGAAACUGGGAGAAAUAGCACUUACUCUGCCUAUUUCACCAGGUUGUGGUGAGAAUCAAAUUGAAUUAGGUUCAUGAAGAGCUUUGUAAACUAUAAAAUGUUGUACAAAUGUUGGCUAUUAUAAUAGUAUUGUAUAUCAUUUCUCAAUUCCACAGGGACUUAGAAGGAAAUAGUUGAAUAAGAACAUAAUUUGAUAGAAAUAUUUGCACAUUCAAUUAUGUUUUAUCGCAGCCUACCUGCCCAAAUAGUUUUUUAAUCUGUAUUAAUCUUAAAUGCUGUUUUUAUUAGCUGGAGUUUCAAAACACUUUAAUAA